AAAUUAGCAGGGGAGAUACCAUGAUCACGAAGGUGGUUUUCCCAGGGCGAGGCUUAUCCAUUGCACUCCGGAUGUGCUGACCCCUGCGAUUUCCCCAAAUGUGGGAAACUCGACUGCAUAAUUUGUGGUAGUGGGGGACUGCGUUCGCGCUCUCCCCUG
RNAcentral lists this small nuclear RNA (159 nucleotides) under Microcebus murinus (gray mouse lemur). RNAcentral describes it as "U1 spliceosomal RNA (ENSMICG00000027093.2)". It matches the Rfam family "U1 spliceosomal RNA". From Rfam's summary of the family: U1 is a small nuclear RNA (snRNA) component of the spliceosome (involved in pre-mRNA splicing). Its 5' end forms complementary base pairs with the 5' splice junction, thus defining the 5' donor site of an intron. Lineage: Eukaryota; Metazoa; Chordata; Mammalia; Primates; Cheirogaleidae. The record is from Rfam by way of RNAcentral.